CGGGGUGAGUAACACGUGAGCAACCUGCCUUUAAGAGUGGGAUAACAGUCGGAAACGACCGCUAAUACCGCAUAAUAUACUUGUAUCGCAUGGUAUGGGUAUCAAAGAUUUAUCGCUUAAAGAUGGGCUCGCGUCUGAUUAGCUGGUUGGUGAGGUAACGGCUCACCAAGGCGACGAUCAGUAGCCGUACUGAGAGGUAGAACGGCCACAUUGGGACUGAGACACGGCCCAGACUCCUACGGGAGGCAGCAG
Molecule: ribosomal RNA, 252 nt
Filed under: uncultured bacterium
Lineage: Bacteria
Description: partial 16S ribosomal RNA
Rfam family: Bacterial small subunit ribosomal RNA
Source: RNAcentral